UGACAUUUCAAGUAGGUAAAGUAGGGCGCUUAGGCUGGCUGAAAACAGAUAAAGGAGACAUCAUGUGCUUGGACGAGUUCCUCCGAGGAAUGCCUUAGACGGAUGAAUCCCGCUGGU
RNAcentral lists this small RNA (117 nucleotides) under Arabidopsis thaliana (thale cress). RNAcentral's name for it is "ATSL087770". The record is from RNAcentral. Lineage: Eukaryota; Viridiplantae; Streptophyta; Magnoliopsida; Brassicales; Brassicaceae.